CUCAAUCUUGACAAUGAAACCGGCGUCCCUUUGUUUCCCCUUCGUCCCUUGAAACCCUACCAUUGUAUAACUGCUUCACUAAUGAUUUCAUUACCAUCCCCUCCUUCAAUUCCCAUUCAAAACUCCUGGUGAUGUUCCAAGCCGAGAAGAAACGGGGACGACGAUGACGAUGGGCACUCCGGUAACAUUAUGGGUUUUUAAAUUGAUCUUGUACGGGGAUGACGAUGAUGAUGCGCACUCAGGAAAAAAGACGACAUUUGCUUGUUAGUUCAAUUAUCAUAAGGGCAUUGAAGUUUCCCUUGGAGUCUUUUCAGCCAUGGGCACCAAAAUCAAAGGGGGUUUUCAAAGACUUCAAGUUCAUCUCAUAGUUCUUUAGUACCCCUCUUGAGAUAUGUAUUUUAAAGUAUUUUAUAUAUAUUUGUUUUUAAUUUUUGAAUAUUUUUAAAGUAUUUUAUAUUGUUUGGAUUACUGUGAUAAUAUUCGGUACACAAAUUAUUGGCAAAAAGUCUUAAUUUUUCGGACACAAUUGUUGCUUGUCAUUUGUCAACUCAACCUGACCCAUCUUAUACAAAAAAACAACCUUUAUAAGAUGUCCAUCUACACUUAUGUUGUUUGCUAACCUUUUUAAUUCUAAUACUAGACAGUAAAGCGUAGAGACAAGUUGCUGAGUUACAUGCUCUUUUUGAGCAUAGCACCAAGUUUGCCAAUUUUUUUAUUAACAGCUGUUGAUAGAAAGCUGGGCAGAUUAUUAUGGCAGACAAGGAAGAAAAGUUGUCUUCUCCAAUGGACAGCUUGGGAUGGGAACCAUGAAGUUAGGAAGAUUAGCAAAAUCAGUAGCUACAGGAGUUAAUACGAAACGCAAAACACGAGGGCUGCUUCAUCAUCCAUUACAGGUAGUUAUCCAUUUGACCAAUUAGAGCUAAAAUACAACCAAAAUCAACCAUGUAUAGGUAAACCGAGCGAUAUUGCCAUAUACGCAAAGCAUUUUCAGCCAACUCAGUUAUACCCCUGGACUGGACAAAUAAAGUCAAUUAUGGUCAAAGUGCUGUGUAGUCACCCGCUUUCUUCCUAUAUUUGUCUUACAAAUGGUGGGUAUCUAUAUGCCAAAAUGUCAAUAGAUCAUCAUCGCUCAUUGCUAAUAUACUUGGUAUCAAAAGACGCUAAGCAAAAGCAAAAAAUGAUAACAUUUUCUCCAGUUUCUUAUGAUUUCAGUUGGAGUUGUGUAUGCAGACACUAGCACAAAGAAACUCCAUAGCUAAAGAUCGUGUCCGAGCGUUGACAAUGACCGCAAGACAAACACCGGUUGAGAUAUGGCGGUCUAGAAAUGAUCAUUAAUUUCAAGAUUGGAAUGGAAUAUGGUAAAGAACACAACAUGAAUAUGGUGAUAAACAGAUUGCUAUAGAACCAAAAACUAUGGGAGCUUGGGGGUUGUGCAGAAUAAGGGGAAUGUAUGAGAUUGUCAAAUGCUACAUCAACAAAAUGGUUGAAAGUGCAGUUGGUUAUUCUAAAUGCCGUUAAAAAUAUGUGGAUAUUGAGAAGCGGAAGUCAGAGCACCUGGAACGUGUUAGUAUCCUCAACAAUGACGGACGCCAGAUGGCAGUUAGCAAGUUAAGACAUUUGUUUAUAUUUCUUUUUUCAAUUUAGUUUAUUGUAGACACAUAUUAGCUAUGAGAUGGGAGGCACACAUAUGCAGUCUUUGAUGCAUCAUGGUCCGAUCUUACCGAAAUUCUCUAUUCUAGGUACUUGACCAUAUUGUACACUAUAUAUGUACAUAUGUGUAUGCAAGGUUGUUUAACGGGUCGAACCCAACACGAAUCAAAACUAAAAAAGUAUCGAUGAUAGUGUCAUUUUCUCAUGGCUACAAUCAGUUUGUUAAUAUUCCAAACAAUCGCUUUGUAUGAACUCUGUGUAAAAUCU
Molecule: long non-coding RNA, 1917 nt
Organism: Helianthus annuus (common sunflower)
Lineage: Eukaryota; Viridiplantae; Streptophyta; Magnoliopsida; Asterales; Asteraceae
Exons: 8
Source: RefSeq, a predicted model, not a curated record